CCUACGGGAGGCAGCAGUGGGGAAUAUUGCACAAUGGGGGAAACCCUGAUGCAGCGACGCCGCGUGAGUGAAGAAGUAUUUCGGUAUGUAAAGCUCUAUCAGCAGGGAAGAAAUAAAGUCCUUCGGACUUUGGACGGUACCUGACUAAGAAGCCCCGGCUAACUACGUGCCAGCAGCCGCGGUAAUAAGUAGGGGGGAAGCGUUAUCCGGAUUUACUGGGUGUAAAUGGAGCGGAGACGGCAGCGCUAGUCUGGAGUGAAAUCCCAUGGCUUAACCAUGGAACUGCUUUGGAAACUGUGCAGCUGGAGUGCAGGAGAGGUAAGCGGAAUUCCUAGUGUAGCGUGGAAAUGCGUAGAUAUUAGGAGGAACACCAGUGGCGAAGGCGGCUUACUGGACUGUAACUGACGUUGAGGCUCGAAAGCGUGGGGAGCAAACAGGAUUAGAUACCCUUGUAGUC
RNAcentral lists this ribosomal RNA (457 nucleotides) under uncultured bacterium. RNAcentral describes it as "partial 16S ribosomal RNA". It matches the Rfam family "Bacterial small subunit ribosomal RNA", at positions 338 to 795 of the family's 1533-position model. The record is from RNAcentral.